UACGUAGGGACCGAGCGUUGUCCGGAUUCAUUGGGCGUAAAGAGCUCGUAGGCGGCUGUUCAAGUCGAACGUGAAAACUCGGAGCUCAACUCCGAGCCUGCGUUCGAUACUGGACGGCUAGAGUCUGGUAGGGGGAUCUGGAAUUCCUGGUGUAGCGGUGGAAUGCGCAGAUAUCAGGAGGAACACUGGUGGCGAAGGCGGGAUCCUGGGCCAGUACUGACGCUGAGGAGCGAAAGCGUGGGGAGCAAACAGG
This 253-nucleotide ribosomal RNA is filed under the name uncultured bacterium. RNAcentral describes it as "partial 16S ribosomal RNA". It matches the Rfam family "Bacterial small subunit ribosomal RNA", at positions 524 to 776 of the family's 1533-position model. The record is from RNAcentral.